CCUACGGGUGGCAGCAGUGGGGAAUAUUGGACAAUGGGCGAAAGCCUGAUCCAGCCAUGCCGCGUGUGUGAAGAAGGCCUUCGGGUUGUAAAGCACUUUCAGUGGGGAAGAAAGCCUUGGGGCUAAUACCCUCGAGGAAGGACAUCACCCACAGAAGAAGCACCGGCUAACUCCGUGCCAGCAGCCGCGGUAAUACGGAGGGUGCGAGCGUUAAUCGGAAUUACUGAGCGUAAAGCGCGCGUAGGCGGUCUGAUAAGCCGGUUGUGAAAGCCCCGGGCUCAACCUGGGAACGGCAUCCGGAACUGUCAGGCUAGAGUGCAGGAGAGGAAGGUAGAAUUCCCGGUGUAGCGGUGAAAUGCGUAGAGAUCGGGAGGAAUACCAGUGGCGAAGGCGGCCUUCUGGACUGACACUGACGCUGAGGUGCGAAAGCGUGGGUAGCAAACAGGAUUAGAUACCCGAGUAGUC
RNAcentral lists this ribosomal RNA (465 nucleotides) under Vreelandella stevensii. RNAcentral's name for it is "partial 16S ribosomal RNA". It matches the Rfam family "Bacterial small subunit ribosomal RNA", at positions 338 to 795 of the family's 1533-position model. The record is from RNAcentral. Lineage: Bacteria; Pseudomonadati; Pseudomonadota; Gammaproteobacteria; Oceanospirillales; Halomonadaceae.